Tachyglossus aculeatus (Australian echidna) is the source of this 138-nucleotide small nucleolar RNA. Lineage: Eukaryota; Metazoa; Chordata; Mammalia; Monotremata; Tachyglossidae. The record is from RefSeq and is a predicted model, not a curated record.
CAGCUCUCAGGGUUGCACCUGGAGAGUUUCCAGUACUCUACCAGUCUUGACUAUGGGAGGGAGAGUCAAGCAGAGCUAUAUCUAUUCCAAUCCUAGCUUGGGCAGUGGAUAGUGAGUGGAAGGCAAUCUGCUACAAGG